RNAcentral lists this ribosomal RNA (253 nucleotides) under uncultured bacterium. Its description in RNAcentral is "partial 16S ribosomal RNA". It matches the Rfam family "Archaeal small subunit ribosomal RNA", at positions 474 to 727 of the family's 1478-position model. The record is from RNAcentral.
UACCAGCACCCCGAGUGGUCGGGACGAUUAUUGGGCCUAAAGCAUCCGUAGCCGGUCCUACAAGUCUUCCGUUAAAUCCACCUGCUCAACAGAUGGGCCGCGGAAGAUACUAUAGGGCUAGGAGGCGGGAGAGGCAAGCGGUACUCAGUGGGUAGGGGUAAAAUCCUCUGAUCCAUUGAAGACCACCAGUGGCGAAGGCGGCUUGCCAGAACGCGCUCGACGGUGAGGGAUGAAAGCUGGGGGAGCAAACCGG